AUUGAACGCUGGCGGCAUGCUUUACACAUGCAAGUCGAACGGCAGCGCGGGCUUCGGCCUGGCGGCGAGUGGCGAGCGGGUGAGUAAUGCAUCGGAACGUGCCCAGUAGUGGGGGAUAGCCCGGCGAAAGCCGGAUUAAUACCGCAUACGACCUGCGGGUGAAAGCGGGGGACCGAAAGGCCUCGCGCUAUUGGAGGGGCCGAUGUCGGGUUAGCUAGUUGGUGGGGUAAAGGCUUACCAAGGCGGCGAUCCGUAGCUGGUCUGAGAGGACGACCAGCCACACUGGGACUUGGACGCGGCCCAGACUCCUACGGGAGGCAGCAGUGGGGAAUUUUGGACAAUGGGGGCAACCCUUAUCCAGCCGUGCCGCGUGCGGGAAGAAGGCCUUCGGGUUGUAAACCGCUUUUGUGCGUGAAGAACUCCUCUGGGCUAAUACCCCGGGGGGAUGACGGUACCGGAAGAAUAAGCACCGGCUAACUACGUG
RNAcentral lists this ribosomal RNA (484 nucleotides) under uncultured bacterium. RNAcentral describes it as "partial 16S ribosomal RNA". It matches the Rfam family "Bacterial small subunit ribosomal RNA", at positions 28 to 507 of the family's 1533-position model. The record is from RNAcentral.